Molecule: long non-coding RNA, 256 nt
Organism: Mus musculus (house mouse)
Lineage: Eukaryota; Metazoa; Chordata; Mammalia; Rodentia; Muridae
Product: predicted gene, 32482
Exons: 3
Source: RefSeq, a predicted model, not a curated record
UCUCCUCUGCCCACAAGCAUGCAGUUGCAUUUAUCCCCCUGCUUCACACAGACUCAUCAAGCCUCCCCAGGGAGUUUUUAAGCUGCAAGGUGCUCAGUGUUGUGACAAGCUGUGGGUCCUCAAAGCUGAGUACUGAAGGCUGAUUUCUGCUUCUGUUUUCAAGCCUUUCUGGACCCACUGAGGGAAGACAUUUUGUUGCUUGAAUUCAGAGGAGAAAGACAAGGGUGUUCCAGUGGCCAGCAUCCUCCAUCCUCCU